GUCUCCUUCCAUAGUGUGGAAGCUUUGUUCUUUCACUCUUUGCGAUAAAUCUUGCUGCUGCUCACUCUUUGGGUCCACACUGCCUUUAUGAGCUGUAACAUUCACCGCGAAGGUCUGCAGCUUCACUCCUGAGGCCAGCGAGACCACGAGCCCACCAGAAGGAAGAAACUCCGAACACGUCCGAACAUCAGAAGGAACAAACUCUGGACACACCACCUUUAAGAACUGUAACACUCACUGCGAGGGUCCGCAGCUUCAUUCUUGAAGUCAGUGAGACCAAGAACCCACCAAUUCCAGACACACCAUGUUAACUGUAUCUGCAAAACAGAGCCGUGGGACCUCUGGAAGUCUGACCAACCUAUUUCCAACAUGAGGCCCUCACCAGACUCCACCAGAAGUGGCCACCCAAUAUUGAACUUCCCAGCCUUCAGAAUUAUAAUACUCAUUCUCCGGGCAGCAGACAAAAGACUUGGAGACAUACACAGCUGAAGGAAAUGAAAAGGCAACAAGGCUAAGAGAACAAAGAUGAGCAUUGCCACGGUCCGGAGGAUGGUGGUGGAGGAAGCCUUCUCUACGCUGGUGCCUCUAUUGGAACUUUCAGGAAAUGAACAUGAACAUUGCCCUGAGAUCAUCUUGUGAGGCAGCUGGUCUAGCCUCCUGGAGGAGAAGCAGUUUUGUGGAGAAGAUUCCAGGCAUCCCUGCCAACAAGCACCAACUCCAGAUAUAUGAGGAAGAGUAGUUUACAACUGACACUGUUUGGAAUUGCUGGCACAUGGUGAUAAUCAAAGACCCUGCAAUGGAUGGAUCAGCUGACACCACCCAGAGUAGU
RNAcentral lists this long non-coding RNA (829 nucleotides) under Homo sapiens (human). Its description in RNAcentral is "HSALNT0041195". Lineage: Eukaryota; Metazoa; Chordata; Mammalia; Primates; Hominidae. The record is from RNAcentral.